RNAcentral lists this long non-coding RNA (1479 nucleotides) under Triticum aestivum (bread wheat). RNAcentral's name for it is "long non-coding RNA (TAES_LNC010431)". The stretch from base 1074 to 1208 matches the Rfam family "MIR1120/MIR1122 microRNA precursor family". The record is from RNAcentral. Lineage: Eukaryota; Viridiplantae; Streptophyta; Magnoliopsida; Poales; Poaceae.
UUUUUUUCAACUUCAACGAUGGUCUGGGCUUCUCUCAUUUUACAUCUUGGACUUUUACCAUUUUGAAUUUCCGUGGGCAAAUAAUAUACAUGCCCUCUAGAGUUUGUACUGAUGUGAAUCCUUUCAAACUUGCGUGGCUUGCAUCAUUGAAUGGGCUGUAUUCUUUUCACCACCACCAUUGUUUUAUCCAUAUCUUUUCGAACUUGCAUGGCUUACAUCAUUAAACGGGCUGUAGGUGGAUAUGUACUAAUGAAGCGACAAAAGAAACACAAUACACACGAACUGAUAACAAACUUCACAUGACCUAACAACAAGAACACACACGAACUAACAACGAUAACAAAUUUGCAGGCGACCUGACAACAAGAACACAAAUGAACUUAAAACAAAAAUAUAAAUGGUGACCAGCUCGGCGGCGUACUGCAGCACGCAGGAGGGGCAACCAAUUAGUCAGCUCGUCGAGGCCGCCAAUACGCAGGAGAGCAUGGUGAGGGCAACAAUAGAGGGAGGCUGCAUGCGGUGGUCGUGGAAGCACCGUGGGGGUUGAGCCACAAUUGUGGUUGAUGGCAAGCCGGCACGACACGACGUGCAGCUUGAGGACGAGUGGGCGGUGCACGACAUGUCACUUUAGAUGCGCCUGUUGGACUGAUUUCCUUCUUUCAUCUGGACGGAUCAAUUGCAGAACUUGCUAUUAGAAACAGUAAAGAUACAAAAUAGUCAUGUGCUCAAACUUGAAGCAAGAUAUGAUUUCAUGUCCUUAUCCAUUAAUAAAAUCAUACUAUGUACAUUUGUAAAAUACUUGCUCUCGGUACUAGUCAUUCUACUUAGUUAUCCAAAACGGUUGUGAAUGCUGCAUCCAUUUUUCUCAAGAAAAUGUGACAUAUAAGUUUUAUACAGAUAGAAAUAUGCACCCUCAAGAAAAUGUAACAUAUAAGUUUUAUAUAGAUAGAAAUAUGCACCAAAAGAUAUACCAAAAUUCUAGUUUUACAUCAUCAGAAGAAACAAAUAAUUUGAUGCCAACCUAAGUGAGCACUGAAAGAUGCAAAGAAGAGCCUUCUUUUGAGAAUUUGACUUUGGUACUCCCUCCGUCCGGAAAUGCUUGUCAUCAAAAUGAAUGAAAGGAGAUGUAUUUAGACGUAUUUUAGUUCUAGAUACAUCUAUUUUUAUCCACUUUGAUGACAAGUAUUUUCGGACGGAGGGAGUACAUGUUUUUCUCUACAAAUUGAUAAACCAAGAGACAUUACAGAGGCUCAUUUCUCACGCUUAACCACAAGCACACGUUUGUUCUAUAGGAAGCUGGAAAUAUAAAAGGGAAAUUGGAUUUACGAUGAGGAAGUAGAUGUACUAAAAAGCAUAUGAAAGAUGAACUGAAAAAGUUGAAGCUCCAGAUCCUCAUGACGAACUGGACCAUACUGGAGUUGUGAAUGGUGGUGAAGCUUCACAUCCUUCAUCGUCAAUGAGCUCCUGCCAUGAGCCAAA